GAUGAACGCUGGCGGCGUGCCUAAUACAUGCAAGUCGAGCGAACGGACGAGAAGCUUGCUUCUCUGAUGUUAGCGGCGGACGGGUGAGUAACACGUGGAUAACCUACCUAUAAGACUGGGAUAACUUCGGGAAACCGGAGCUAAUACCGGAUGAUAUUUUGAACCGCAUGGUUCAAAAGUGAAAGACGGUCUUGCUGUCACUUAUAGAUGGAUCCGCGCUGCAUUAGCUAGUUGGUAAGGUAACGGCUUACCAAGGCAACGAUGCAUAGCCGACCUGAGAGGGUGAUCGGCCACACUGGAACUGAGACACGGUCCAGACUCCUACGGGAGGCAGCAGUAGGGAAUCGUCCGCAAAGGGCGAAAGCCUGACGGAGCAACGCCGCGUGAGUGAUGAAGGUCUUCGGAUCGUAAAACUCUGUUAUUAGGGAAGAACAUAUGUGUAAGUAACUGUGCACAUCUUGACGGUACCUAAUCAGAAAGCCACGGCUAACUACGUG
Molecule: ribosomal RNA, 497 nt
Filed under: uncultured bacterium
Lineage: Bacteria
Description: partial 16S ribosomal RNA
Rfam family: Bacterial small subunit ribosomal RNA
Source: RNAcentral